This 253-nucleotide ribosomal RNA is filed under the name uncultured bacterium. Its description in RNAcentral is "partial 16S ribosomal RNA". It matches the Rfam family "Bacterial small subunit ribosomal RNA", at positions 524 to 776 of the family's 1533-position model. The record is from RNAcentral.
UACGUAGGGUGCAAGCGUUGUCCGGAAUUAUUGGGCGUAAAGAGCUCGUAGGCGGUCUGUCGCGUCUGCUGUGAAAACUCAGGGCUUAACCCUGAGCUUGCAGUGGGUACGGGCAGACUAGAGUGCGGUAGGGGAGACUGGAAUUCCUGGUGUAGCGGUGAAAUGCGCAGAUAUCGAGAGGAACACCUGCGGCGAAGGCGGGUUGCUGGGCUGACACUGACGCUGAUGCGCGAAAGCCAGGGGAGCGAACGGG